AUCUAUACAACAUAAUGAAUUAAAUGGCUAUAUUCAUUCUGCUUUUUGGCUGCCAUGUCCUACAAAGUGAGGCUGUGGUUACACAAUUAGAGGUUCCUGCAGAUGCAGGCUGACUGCAGAGAUCCCUACAAAAAGAGGCAGUCUCUGAAGAAUGCUGCAUGCCUGCAAUACGGGUUAACAGUUGCUGGUCGGAUGAUGUUACCGGUUUCUGAAGCUUAUAUACUCAUCCAUACAUGAGAAUUGAGCUUUUCCAAAGGACCAGCGGCAGAAAGGACAGAUAAGCUGAAGUGGAUUUGAAUCACUGUGACUGAACAAUAUUUGAGAAGAAGGAAAUUUGAUCCAGUAAUGCUAUACUCCCCCUCCUAUUCUGCCACAAAACAGCGUAGGAAGGGAGUGAAACGUAAGAAAGCCUUCAUGACCAUUCGUGUUUGUAAAGACCUUACGUCAGUGGAAUAAAGGAUCUCUGCUUUAUAGCCAAUGGUCCCUCAAAACAACAUGGCUGCACACUUGUCCAGCCGCUCCAAGGUUCUGUGCACAGCAGUGAGCAUCGGCUCACCGACAGGGGCAUUGAUGUCCGGUUCUGGAAGAUGCUACUGCACACUGGACUCGAUGACCUGCGUAGCCGAGAAGAAAAUUAGAGGUGGAACUCAGCACAACCUUUGUGCCAUCUGUGUUUAAAUUUCAUGUUGCAUCCUGACGACACUGUCAACUUUCUACCUCAACCAAUGACACCUCCCAAAAUUGGAGCCAAUCGAUUAUUUAUCUUAUUUUCUGUUAGUGGGUCCGCAGGAUAUGGAAAUUUGCUGCUGUGUUCCAUGUUUAAAUAACAGAAAGUACAUUUCAUAAUGCGAAAUAAAGUGGUACACUGUACCUCUUGUACUUGAGCCCAUGGUUUGGAACACUGCAAGAUAAUAAAGUAUCAAUUCUUUUCACAUUUUCUCAUUACUAUCUUUUCUCUGGUGGGUUUGAUGGUGAAAUAGAGAAGAAGCAAGAGGAAACAACAUUACAAGCUAAAUGCACUGGAUGCUCUGCCUAAACUGUACAGCUCUGUGCAUCUGGAAAAGACACAGAACAAAACCUCGUGGGAGUGACAGAUAUUGUAAAUGUUCUGAGAAUUGU
Molecule: long non-coding RNA, 1119 nt
Organism: Rhincodon typus (whale shark)
Lineage: Eukaryota; Metazoa; Chordata; Chondrichthyes; Orectolobiformes; Rhincodontidae
Exons: 3
Source: RefSeq, a predicted model, not a curated record